RNAcentral lists this ribosomal RNA (492 nucleotides) under uncultured bacterium. RNAcentral describes it as "partial 16S ribosomal RNA". It matches the Rfam family "Bacterial small subunit ribosomal RNA", at positions 29 to 507 of the family's 1533-position model. The record is from RNAcentral.
AUUGAACGCUGGCGGCAUGCUUUACACAUGCAAGUCGAACGGUAACAGGCCUUCGGGUGCUGACGAGUGGCGAACGGGUGAGUAAUGCAUCGGAACGUACCCAGAGGUGGGGGAUAACGCAGCGAAAGCUGUGCUAAUACCGCAUGUGAUCUGAGGAUGAAAGCGGGGGACCGAGCAGCAAUGUUUGGCCUCGCGCCUUUGGAGCGGCCGGUGUCGGAUUAGCUAGUUGGUGGGGUAAAGGCCUACCAAGGCGACGAUCCGUAGCUGGUCUGAGAGGACGACCAGCCACACUGGGACUGAGACACGGCCCAGACUCCUACGGGAGGCAGCAGUGGGGAAUUUUGGACAAUGGGCGCAAGCCUGAUCCAGCAAUGCCGCGUGCGGGAAGAAGGCCUUCGGGUUGUAAACCGCUUUUGGCAGGAACGAAACGGUGUCCGCUAAUACCGGGCGCUAAUGACGGUACCUGCAGAAUAAGCACCGGCUAACUACGUG